GGGCGUUUGGCACAGUGGUAGCGCGCACGCUUUGCAUCUCCUAUGGAUAAUGAAUGCGUGAGGUCGAGGGUUCAAACCCCCCAACGUCCA
Fomitopsis serialis is the source of this 90-nucleotide non-coding RNA. Lineage: Eukaryota; Fungi; Basidiomycota; Agaricomycetes; Polyporales; Fomitopsidaceae. The record is from the annotation of a RefSeq genome assembly.